GCAAUGGAUGCCCUCACAAACGUGGGACGGCAAAAGUACAAAAGGAAUGAUGCAAAUGGAUGCCUAAUGGACGGCGAUAAAAGUCCAAAAGAAUGAUGCAAUGGAUGCCUAAAUGGACGCAAAGCCAAAAGAACGGAUGCCAAUGGAUGCUAAAUGGAACUGGCAAAUGCCCAAAAGAAGGAUGCAGAUGGAAGUGCCUAAAUGGACCUGAAAGUCCAAAAGAAUGAUGCAAUGGAUGCCUAAAUGGACGUCAAAGUCCAAAAGACUGAUGCAAAUGGGACUGCCUAAAUGGACGGCAAAGUCCAAAAGAAUGAAUGCAAUCAAUGGAUGCCUAAAUGGACGGCAAAGUCCAAAAGAAUGAUGCAAUGGAUGCCUAAAUGGACGGCAAAGCCCAAAAGAAUGAUGCAAGAUACACUAAAAUGGAGGGCAAAGCCAAAGAGAAUGCAUCAAAGAAUGUCAAAAUGGAGGGCAAGAAAAACACUGCAAGAAACAACUGAGCAACAGCAAAGACCAAACACAAAGACAACACAGUAGGACAAGCACAGACAGCCCAUAGGACACCACAGAGUGCAGAAAUGAGCUCAGAAACACUAACCUCGCAUCUCAGUACAUAACAAGUAAAAACCAAUUGCUGUGUGCUGCCCUUACCUGCUGGGCUGAGAGUUACCAUCAGCAAAGCUGGGUCCAGGCAAUGCAGGUUUCUGUUCCUCGCUGCUCUCAUCAGGAGCCGCACAUCUCUGUGCUCUGCUGGAACCUGUUGGACACAACAUGACAAUGAAGGCACUGGGAUACAAUUAAUGCUAUUAGGGAUAUAAUUAAUGCUAUUAGGGAUAUAAUUAAUGCUAUUAGGGAUAUAAUUAAUGCUAUUAUGGAUAUAAUUAAUGCUACUUUUAAGUCUAGAUUUGCAGUAAGUUUAACAAUUGUAUCCCACACUACGAUCAUAAUUAAAGUGACUUUCACAUAAAGCACUGAGCAUCACUUUUAUGACUGCAUUUAUCAUAACAGACACCUUUAGUAUUGGGUAAAUAUUAGGUAAAUAUCAGUUCCAUUAACAAAUACAGGUUACAGACUUUAUCACUACAACCCGCAUUAAGCCGGGGGAGCAGAUCAAGAUUAACACAAACAAAACAUUAACACAAAUCCCAAAGACAAGCAGAACAACCACAGAAAGACACUGCAAGAGAAAAGCAAAGCAAGCAGCCAAGGGUAAGACAAAGAAAAAAGCAAGAAGGAAAGCCAAGGGAAACCAAAGCAAAAGCAACAGCAAACAGGCCAUUAUAGGGAACACCAAGAACAAAGGCCAAAGGGAAAACAGCGUGGGGAGCCAACAGAACAAAGGGAACAAUGAAACAGAG
This 1355-nucleotide long non-coding RNA is filed under the name Coturnix japonica (Japanese quail). Its description in RNAcentral is "lncRNA (ENSCJPG00005003253.1)". The record is from RNAcentral. Lineage: Eukaryota; Metazoa; Chordata; Aves; Galliformes; Phasianidae.